GGGAGCCAGGCAGAGGGCCACGGGAAACUGAGGAAACUCCAGCCUCUAGGCCAGGGGGAGUCCCAUGAGGGACGGGGGUAGUGCCUCCGACCACUGCACAGAAACGAGACCUCGUCAGGUUCAGAUGAAUAGGAACCGAUGGUUCCUCCGGUGACGGGGGAACUUGGCGAGAGAGCCUGACGGGGUUGAAACGGCAGAUCUCCCCUUGAGCAAGUCAGAGGAACCGUGAUGGGGCCGAGAGUUCCUCUAAGUACGCUAAGCGGAAUCCCUCAUAUACAGAAGCUGGGUUAUUGCCUUGGCUCCC
This 304-nucleotide RNase P RNA is filed under the name Metallosphaera yellowstonensis MK1. RNAcentral's name for it is "Archaeal RNase P". It matches the Rfam family "Archaeal RNase P". From Rfam's summary of the family: Ribonuclease P (RNase P) is a ubiquitous endoribonuclease, found in archaea, bacteria and eukarya as well as chloroplasts and mitochondria. RNAcentral also lists the same sequence under 1 other name. Lineage: Archaea; Thermoproteati; Thermoproteota; Thermoprotei; Sulfolobales; Sulfolobaceae. The record is from Rfam by way of RNAcentral.